Molecule: long non-coding RNA, 1800 nt
Organism: Hibiscus syriacus
Lineage: Eukaryota; Viridiplantae; Streptophyta; Magnoliopsida; Malvales; Malvaceae
Exons: 2
Source: RefSeq, a predicted model, not a curated record
AAAUGCAGGCUUUGUGUAAAAAGCACGGCCUCUCUGCCAAUUUAACCAACCGUGAAAUGGCGGAUCGUUUGGCUUCCAUAUUUAAGGAAAGUGAAGAUCCUGUUUCGUCAGCAGAGUUGAUCUCUAAUCCAGAAGAAAUAUUGAGUGAAGAUAAAGCUAAUGCUGUCAAAAAGCAGAUAAAGAAAGUCAGGUUUAGUCCUGACAAUCAAACCAUUGAGUAUGAGGUUUCUGUCUAUAGGCCCUAGAAGAAGGUCUAGGAGGCAAACAUUGUCCAAUAUCCUGCCCAGGUGCUUGAAAAUACUGUAAGUGAAGAAAUUAAAAAGUUUGAAGGCUGCCAAGCAAGAGUCACAAGGUCCAGAAUGCAAACUGCAGUUGAAGAAGAAAUACACAUGGCUUCUUCGCCUCCUGCUGGGCGAAAGAGGGAGAGAGGGGGCAAGAAGGUUAAAGAUGCCAAGGUGUGGCUAAUAUGGGUGAUUCGGAGGGUUUAGAAUUGGGUCAGAAAGAUAUCAAGAAUGGUCAUUAUAAGGUUACUGGUGGGUUUAGUGGGAGACAGUUAAGAAGUAGGAAGAAUGUGUCUCGGGAAGAUUCAAAGAAGAUAAUGAACGACAAAGGAAGUGACGAGGUUCAUCUGUUGGAUGAAGUUCAGAAGGCAAUAAUGGCCGAAAGCAAUCAACGAGGAAUGCUAGAAACGAGAUCCGGGUGUGGCAUUCAACAGUGACGUGGAAAAGGUUGAAGUUGUUUCUAGGGUGACACGGCAGUCUAGGGCACAAUCCAAAGAUGAAAUUUCUAUGGUUAAAAAUGAAGUUAAAAUAGUUGAGGUAAAGGAUGGAAAUGAAACAGAGAAGUCCCUGAGACGAACAAAACGCAAUUCAGAAAAAGAUAGUGAUGGAAGUGUUGCUUCUGUGAAAAUUGAUGCUCAGGUAACAAAGGUUCAAGAAAAUCUGAAAGACAUGUUGCACUCGUGGAACCGCCAGAAUGUUUGAGACAUUCUUCCAGGCAAAAUUCUGGUGUAUUUCAGAGUGGCAAGGGGGAAAUAAGGGAGAAUUUCCAAAAGAUGAGACCAGAAAACGAAGUAGGACUGCUGAAUUGGAAGCUAUUCUGGAAGAUGUAGUGACGUUGAGAGGGACAAGUAUGCGGUUACUUCACAACAGCAAGUUCCCUUGAGGAGGAGCAGGCGCAAGACUCUGAUUAUUACUGCUCCAGCUGUCAAGUUGGCAAAUAAGGAAGAUAUUGGUGAAAUGGAGCACUUAAUAGCACCAUUUCUAGGGAAAGGCACGACCGAAGAAUUGGAUGCUAUUGUGGAAGAUGGAGAGGUUAAUAGGGCCAAGUAUGCCGUGACUUCACAACACCAAGCCCCCUGGAGGAAGGGCAGGCGCAAGACCGGAUUCUUACUGCUCCAGCUGCUGAGUUGACAAAUAAGGAAGAUCAAAUUGCUGUUGCCGAAAGUGAUCAGGGAGUUAAGCAGCAAGUGCAAGAGCCUAUUUUGGAAGAAGAAGAAACUUCUGCUCGUGAACAUCAUCCAAUGAAACAGAAACCCCAAAGAAGAUCCAGACAUAUUACUUCUAAAAGUGCCUAUGUGCACCUUCUAACUCAACAGCCAAAGGCGUCAAGAAGAACGACAAAGCAAGUCUAGAAUGGAGAUUGUAGAAGAGGAAGCUGCACCUAAUGAGUCUUCCAUCUCCUGAAGAAUUACCAGCUGGAAAGGAUGUGCAAUUUGUUGUCAGAAUGUGCAGGAGAUAAAAAUAAUCUUGAUUUGGACUUUAGCAAACAGGUUGUCAACAGUGGUGAUGCAUGCUCUAA